Molecule: ribosomal RNA, 829 nt
Filed under: Staphylococcus arlettae
Lineage: Bacteria; Bacillati; Bacillota; Bacilli; Caryophanales; Staphylococcaceae
Description: bacterial SSU rRNA
Rfam family: Bacterial small subunit ribosomal RNA
Source: RNAcentral
GAGCGAACAGAUAAGGAGCUUGCUCCUUUGACGUUAGCGGCGGACGGGUGAGUAACACGUGGGUAACCUACCUAUAAGACUGGAAUAACUCCGGGAAACCGGGGCUAAUGCCGGAUAACAUUUAGAACCGCAUGGUUCUAAAGUGAAAGAUGGUUUUGCUAUCACUUAUAGAUGGACCCGCGCCGUAUUAGCUAGUUGGUAAGGUAAUGGCUUACCAAGGCAACGAUACGUAGCCGACCUGAGAGGGUGAUCGGCCACACUGGAACUGAGACACGGUCCAGACUCCUACGGGAGGCAGCAGUAGGGAAUCUUCCGCAAUGGGCGAAAGCCUGACGGAGCAACGCCGCGUGAGUGAUGAAGGGUUUCGGCUCGUAAAACUCUGUUAUUAGGGAAGAACAAACGUGUAAGUAACUGUGCACGUCUUGACGGUACCUAAUCAGAAAGCCACGGCUAACUACGUGCCAGCAGCCGCGGUAAUACGUAGGUGGCAAGCGUUAUCCGGAAUUAUUGGGCGUAAAGCGCGCGUAGGCGGUUUCUUAAGUCUGAUGUGAAAGCCCACGGCUCAACCGUGGAGGGUCAUUGGAAACUGGGAGACUUGAGUGCAGAAGAGGAAAGUGGAAUUCCAUGUGUAGCGGUGAAAUGCGCAGAGAUAUGGAGGAACACCAGUGGCGAAGGCGACUUUCUGGUCUGUAACUGACGCUGAUGUGCGAAAGCGUGGGGAUCAAACAGGAUUAGAUACCCUGGUAGUCCACGCCGUAAACGAUGAGUGCUAAGUGUUAGGGGGUUUCCGCCCCUUAGUGCUGCAGCUAACGCAUUAAGCACUCCGCCU